Aegilops tauschii subsp. strangulata is the source of this 2111-nucleotide long non-coding RNA. RefSeq lists it as uncharacterized. Lineage: Eukaryota; Viridiplantae; Streptophyta; Magnoliopsida; Poales; Poaceae. The record is from RefSeq and is a predicted model, not a curated record.
AUCUGACCCCAUUCUGCAAGUAGCUGGCCCACUAUUCAAGACAAGGUGUUAAGCCACUUCCCAGGCCAGCACGGAGCCACCAAUACUACAUAAAUGCCCACUGUUUCUUUUGCUGUAUUUUGUUUGGUUGUUUGUUACUUCCUCUCUAGUCCCCCACCUACAGGAUUCUAGCGUGGAGUCUGUUUACAACGGGUCAGGAUUGAAGAUUGAUCUUUAUAGUGCAAGUGCUCAGGUCUAGCUCAGAUCCUUGAUAGCUUGAUCUUUCUUGUAAAUGAAAAUGACAUUUCUGUGUCUAGAGAAUUCAUUAUGAUCCAGGCCAUCCCAAUACAGUUGAGCUGAAAGGAUCCUGUCCUCAUGUUCUGACUUAGAUUUGAUUGCUCUAAACAAGACUUAAGAUGCGUGUUAAAAUCACUCACCAUUCAUUAUAUAGUGCCUUAAUAGUGCUUUGGUAGAUGAGUAGGUGGAGUAUUUGAUGUUGCAAGAAUGAUAUGAAAAAGGAGGGAGUGCCUUGUAAGAGUGAGAUCUUCUCUUUUCCAUUAUUAAUAUAUAGUCUAUGUACUCGCAGUUAUUCAUUUAUAUUUCUUUCUGUAGUAGAUUUUACUUCUUUCUGUAACGAUUUGUUUUUUUCGCAGGGUGUUUAUCUUAAUUGUGUCUGACUUGUGAUGGAAAGAGAAAUAGAGCCCAUCUGUACUGAAAAAGGAGGCCUGAAGAUCCAAAGAGAGAAAAGCUUCAGUAUCAGAGGGAGUUGUACGAGCUGGAGCAUUCCAUCGAUCAGAAGCGCCUUCAGUAGCCCCUGGACCAAUCAAUUCUUGUUUCUCCGCGGACUGUGGCAAGUCUUACGUGCGGUAACAGCAUAUGAGGGAGAGUUGUGUACGUGCUGGAGCAUUCUGUACUGGUAUAGCCAAUAACUCGCAAUUACGUUCGUCGAUCAGGUUGUUAUGCAGUUGGACAGUCCCAUCGACCGUGCUGCUGAAGUCAGCUGUAAUGUCAUGGCAUGAGAAGAACGUUUUCUUGACAGGACGUGUUUGUAGGAACAAUUUGUGAACCACAGCUUAAAUGCUAGGGCCCUGCUGCAGUUAACAAGGGCGAAGGGAAAGAGAGAUUUAAUAUAAAUGAAAUCGUAGCGAAUGGCCAGCAAUAACUCCUCCUCAACACACAUCCUGACAAGUCCAUUGCUCCUCAGUAACACAGAGAGAGGGGGAAGAAGAUUAGAGGAAGACGCAGACUCAUCAAAGAAAGACCUAGCUGUGUGGCUGUGGGUGGGCCCAUGAUUGUAAAUGUGCGCUUGUCCCGUUGCUCCAGCCUCCAGCCAGCCAGCAGGGAGGCCAGGUGCUUGAUCAUUGCGCCGGGUCCAUCCGUCCGUCCACGCGUUCCCGGGGAUCGAUGCAACGUGACAGUGGUGAGUACGUGUGCGCGUGGGAUGGCGCAGCAGCCCUUAAGUUGUACUCCCUCCGUCCCGUAAUGUAACACGUUUUUUUGACUUCGUGGCUUGAUGAGAUGAGAAGAAGGUGCUGCCGCCUGCCGGUGGAUCUCGCAGAGUCGUGCGGGGCUGAGGUGGUGGUCAUGAAAGGUGUACUUUCGUCGCCGGCCGAGGCGAAUUCCAAUUCCAAUGGCUCAAGGCGGCGACGGGUCCAGACGCCCAGCGGCGUGGAAGAGAGAGCAGCCUUUCGAUGGUGUGAUUCGUCCCUUUCUUCGUUCGUUUCUGCUCCUUGUUCUGUAUUUUCCCACGGAUGGUUUCCCGACGACGAGUUGCGCCUCCAUGCAGGCACGGUGUGUGACCGGGUCUGGGCCCGAUACCGACCUCUGCUUGCCGUGCUCCAUGGGGGUAGAGUAGAGGCUCUUCCAUGUUGGAAGAAUGGAAGAUUACGUACGGGCUGAGCGGUUGCAUUAAUCUCAUGUAUGUAUCGGUACCACUAGUGCUUUCUCCGUGCAUUUACGAGACAUUUGACCUUCCGGUGGAUUGACAUGGGCAUUGAUCAAGUCAGGUGGAUUGACCUGUGUUGAUCAUUCAUUCAUGUUGCCACUGAGCCACUGAUCAUGUGAGAGGGAUAUCACUUGACCUCUUCCAGGUGAAUCCAUUCAAUUGAGAAAGGCACUAGUCCAGCAUAGUA